GCCAUGCGAGUCACGUAGCAUACUUGGCUACGGCUCAGUAUCACGUACUCAACAUGCCCAUGGCCCGUGGAUAACCUCGGGAAACUGAAGAUAAACCGCGAUAGGUCAUAGUAUCUGGAAUGAUUUAUGGUUCAGAUCUACAUGGCCUCUGGAUUGGACUGGGACCGAUCACGAUGUUGGUGAUGUAAUGGCCCAGCAAACCUAAAACCGGUACCGGCUCUGAGACGAAAAGCCCAGAGAUGGACACUGACACUAGGGCCCAGGCCCUAUGGCGCGCAGCAGGCGCAAAAACUCUGCCUCAGCCGAAAGCUUGACCUGGUUAUUCUGAUUGAUAUCCGUUAACGAAAUCUUUUGCUUCCUCUAACAAUGGUGCUGAAUAAGAGGUGGGCAAGCCUGGUGUCGGCCGCCGCGGCAAUACCAGCACCCCCAGUGGUCGGGACCAUUAUUGUUACUGAACCAUCCGUGUCCGGUUCUACAACUCUUCCGCUACAUCCACCUGCUCCAGAUAUGGGCAUGGGAUGAUACUAUUAAUCUAGAAGGCGGAAGAGGCAAACGGUACUUAUUGUGUAGGGGUAAAAUCCAUUUAUCCUUUUAAGACCACCACCGGCGAAGGCGACUUGCCAUAGCCCGCUCGACCUCGAGGGAUGAGGGCUGGGGGAGCAGACCGGAUUAGAUAUCCAGGUACGCCCAGCUGCAACCGAUGCAGAUUCGGAGUUGAAUAGGCUUCGUGCCUAUGCAUUGUCGCAGGGACGCCGAUGACUCUGCCUCCUGGGGAGGACGAUCACAGGACUGAGACUUAA
This 800-nucleotide ribosomal RNA is filed under the name uncultured crenarchaeote. RNAcentral's name for it is "bacterial SSU rRNA". It matches the Rfam family "Archaeal small subunit ribosomal RNA", at positions 48 to 859 of the family's 1478-position model. The record is from RNAcentral. Lineage: Archaea; Thermoproteati; Thermoproteota.